RNAcentral lists this non-coding RNA (48 nucleotides) under Trichobilharzia regenti. The record is from RNAcentral. Lineage: Eukaryota; Metazoa; Platyhelminthes; Trematoda; Strigeidida; Schistosomatidae.
AUCCAUCUGACGAGUCCAAAAUAGGACGAAAUGCGCGUUGUCCUUGAU